RNAcentral lists this long non-coding RNA (952 nucleotides) under Mytilus galloprovincialis (Mediterranean mussel). The record is from RNAcentral. Lineage: Eukaryota; Metazoa; Mollusca; Bivalvia; Mytilida; Mytilidae.
GGGGGGAGGGGGCCUGGGAUUUUUAUUGUGUUCAUAAUUUUUUUUUUCAGAACCUUCCUCCGACAAAAUAUUUUUUUUUCUUAUGAGAAGGAAAGCAAAAUUUUUUUUCCUAUAAUGUGGAACAGAAAUACAAUUUUUUUUCUUCACAAAACCAUAAAAUUAACAUAAAAUUCAUUUUAAUUUUUUAAUUGAUGUAAAAUGUAAAGUGCAUGGCUCUGUCUAUAUCCUGGCAUUGGCUGUUGUCUCAGUUGUUUUUUUUAGCCCACUUUCUACAUUAUGAUAUUCUCGGAGUCCGUCAUACAGGUAUCCUUAAAUUUUAAUACUGCAAUUGAAGUGGCCACCAUUGCCAUAUGUAAUGGCAAAUAGUGAGUAGCUCCAACUUAUAAAAUCCACUGUUUCCAACUAUGAUAAUUGACAUUCCAUUGAAAAAAAGUGGUAUAAAGAAUGAUACAAACGGAAAAUACUACCAGUAUACAAGUCUGUGUCAUACACAAUCAGGGCUAUCUUAAAAGACUGCUUAUGAUACCAUAUCUAUUCCUGUUAUAAAAUGACCAUUUCAUGUUUAUAAUAGUUGCAGUUUUAAGUAUGGUCUUACAGUAGUAACAUAUAUAUGCGGGAGAUUUGGAAUUCUUAUAAAUAUUUCUGGAUCAAACACUAUUAUAGGAACAUACAAAAAGUGAUAAGGUAUAAAGAUCUAUAAAUAGAAAUCUUAGCUUAAUCUGUAUACUGGACAGAUGUUUAUAAUCUGCUGUUUCACUGUCUCGUCUGUUGUUAGUUUCACCAUUCUCAAAUUCAGCAGUGCAAAAAAAAAAAUUUCAAGCAGGUGACAGCAUAAAUUUUUUUCAGCUUCAGUGCAAAAUAUAAUUUUUUUUUCGGUCAGCUAGGCCAUCAAAAUAUUUUUUUCAAAAAAAUCCCAGGCCCCCCCUAGAUAAGAAAAUGGUUGUUGCCUUAC